Molecule: non-coding RNA, 165 nt
Organism: Podarcis lilfordi (Lilford's wall lizard)
Lineage: Eukaryota; Metazoa; Chordata; Lepidosauria; Squamata; Lacertidae
Source: the annotation of a GenBank genome assembly
CCAAUGGGGAAAACUGGAAAGGUUGCAUGGCCUUUGUGAUGUAUAGUCCUCUUCCAUACCGUUGGAGAGCAAGCUGGGCCCUCGUGGUCUGCAACCGGCAUAUUCCUACUGCUUCUCUGAGUCUUCAGGCAGUGAUUGAGGAGAUAAACCAUGAAGGAGACAUGU